This 497-nucleotide ribosomal RNA is filed under the name uncultured bacterium. RNAcentral's name for it is "partial 16S ribosomal RNA". It matches the Rfam family "Bacterial small subunit ribosomal RNA", at positions 28 to 507 of the family's 1533-position model. The record is from RNAcentral.
GAUGAACGCUGGCGGCGUGCCUAAUACAUGCAAGUCGAGCGGACGGACGCGAAGCUUGCUUCGCUGAUGUUAGCGGCGGAUGGGUGAGUAACACGUGGAUCACCUACCUAUAAGACUGGGAUAACUUCGGGAAACCGGAGCUAAUACCGGAUAAUAUCUUGAACCGCAUGGUUCAAUAGUGAAAGACGGUCUUGGUGUCACUUAUCGAUGGAUCCGGGCUGCAUUAGAUAGUUGGUAAGGUAAAGGGUUACCAAGGCAACGAUGCGUGGCCGACCGCCGAGGGUGAUCGGCCACACUGGAACUGAGACACGGUCCAGACUCCUACGGGAGGGAGCAGUAGGGAAUCUUCCGCAAUGGGCGAAAGCCUGACGGAGCAACGCCGCGUGAGUGAUGAAGGUCUUCGGUUCGUAAAGCUCUGUUAUUAGGGAAGAACAUAUGUGUAAUUAACCGUACACAGCUUGACGGUACCUAAUCAGAAAGCCACGGCUAACUACGUG